GCCCGGCUGGCGUAAUCGGAUAACGCACCAGACUUCUAAUCUGGGGAUUGCGGGUUCGAGUCCCGCGUCGGGUA
This 74-nucleotide transfer RNA is filed under the name Rhizophagus irregularis DAOM 181602=DAOM 197198. Its description in RNAcentral is "tRNA-Arg (TCT) (tRNA-Arg-TCT-1-1)". It matches the Rfam family "tRNA". Rfam says of the family: Transfer RNA (tRNA) molecules are approximately 80 nucleotides in length. Their secondary structure includes four short double-helical elements and three loops (D, anti-codon, and T loops). Further hydrogen bonds mediate the characteristic L-shaped molecular structure. tRNAs have two regions of fundamental functional importance: the anti-codon, which is responsible for specific mRNA codon recognition, and the 3' end, to which the tRNAs corresponding amino acid is attached (by aminoacyl-tRNA synthetases). tRNAs cope with the degeneracy of the genetic code in two manners: having more than one tRNA (with a specific anti-codon) for a particular amino acid; and 'wobble' base-pairing, i.e. permitting non-standard base-pairing at the 3rd anti-codon position. Lineage: Eukaryota; Fungi; Glomeromycota; Glomeromycetes; Glomerales; Glomeraceae. The record is from RNAcentral.